AGUGAACGCUGGCGGUAGGCCUAACACAUGCAAGUCGAACGGCAGCACAGUAAGAGCUUGCUCUUACGGGUGGCGAGUGGCGGACGGGUGAGGAAUACAUCGGAAUCUACUUUUUCGUGGGGGAUAACGUAGGGAAACUUACGCUAAUACCGCAUACGACCUACGGGUGAAAGCAGGGGAUCUUCGGACCUUGCGCGAUUGAAUGAGCCGAUGUCGGAUUAGCUAGUUGGCGGGGUAAAGGCCCACCAAGGCGACGAUCCGUAGCUGGUCUGAGAGGAUGAUCAGCCACACUGGAACUGAGACACGGUCCGGACUCCUACGGGAGGCAGCAGUGGGGAAUAUUGGACAAUGGGCGCAAGCCUGAUCCAGCCAUACCGCGUGGGUGAAGAAGGCCUUCGGGCUGUAAAGCCCUUUUGUUGGGAAAGAAAAGCAGCAGGUUAAUACCCCGCUGUUCUGACGGUACCCAAAGAAUAAGCACCGGCUAACUUCGUG
RNAcentral lists this ribosomal RNA (492 nucleotides) under uncultured bacterium. Its description in RNAcentral is "partial 16S ribosomal RNA". It matches the Rfam family "Bacterial small subunit ribosomal RNA", at positions 29 to 507 of the family's 1533-position model. The record is from RNAcentral.